This 1261-nucleotide long non-coding RNA is filed under the name Helianthus annuus (common sunflower). RNAcentral describes it as "hypothetical non coding rna". Lineage: Eukaryota; Viridiplantae; Streptophyta; Magnoliopsida; Asterales; Asteraceae. The record is from RNAcentral.
AUGGAAGUUUUGUUCGCUGGAAUUGAGUGGAAUUGGAAUACGCGUUUCAUUCAAACCUGUUUGGAUUCAACCGAAUAAUAUGGAAUCUUCGAUUCUUGUAGCUGUCAACGUCACUACAUGUCUACACCGCUGCCACAACCACCACCAACAUUGCCACCAUCUACUGACAUACGGCGAUAGUUAUUGGUGGCCUCGAGGACUGUAGGGUAGUAGUGGCCCCCAUAAGGUGGUGAUAACGGUGAUAGAUUCCAAUUCUUUCAUGAUUUUUUUUAACCAUACCGAUAAAUUUAGUAUUUCAAGCCUUUUGAAAAUUUCAAUUUCAAAUACAAUAUUUUUUUUUUAAAUUUCAAUUCUCAGAUUCCAAUUAAUUAUAAAACCAAAUAUGUUGCAUUUUCUUAUACAUUCAUGUCAUGUAUAUUGCUAACGACUCGUGUUCACUUGUUGUGGAGAUUUCUCUAUGGUGGUAAUGACUUUUGAAUAAUUGUAAUUAAAGCACAAGCUUGGUGGUUGAUUCCAUCAUUCUUGAAAGCAAUCAUUUCCCCUGAGUGGUGGAUCCAGGAUGAGAUACCAAAUUUGAUUCUGAAGUUAUCUAUGUACCAGAAUCAUCAUAUGGGUUUGUUAGGAAUUUUACCCGAACACACCCAUGAAUAAUUAUAAGACAUGUAAUAAGUUCCUAAAUUAGGUGCUCCAUGAAACUUUGCUUCUCUUGGACCAUCAACCCCAAUGAUGUUCAUGCAUUCUAGUAACGUUCAGAUAAAACACAUAUGUGAUAAAGUUUAUUAUAAGAGGGGAAGGGGGGCUCACGGGUUCGUUGCAGCGGGGCAACACUGACGUGAUGCCACACUCUAGCCAUGCACGGUAGUCUGCCUAGCGGCAAACCUUUGCUGGAACGGGUUGUAUGUUUGGAGAGUAUAAAGUGGGUGUGAUUGGUGUGUGGAGUAAAAGGGUAAAGUCCAUGGUUCUAAGGUACUUGUGAGUAAGCGGCGCAAGUGUUUUGAUCGUUCUAAGAUAAUUGGGUGUAGAAUUGACAUGACAUCGCAAGAUUAGAUGGGGCUAGGAUAACACCCUUAGGUGCCUCUUCCACCCUAAUAUCAAAAGUUGUUUCAAGCUUUACAAAUAAAUCUAUAUUUGUGGAUUAUAAACAUUAAUUUCGAUGAAAGUAUUCUACAUAUUAACUAUGUUAGCUAUAGGCUUAAAUGAAAUAGAAGACAAUAAUUCAACUAUGAAUUUCAUUCAAAAUAACAGACAUUCUAGACUUUGU